This 253-nucleotide ribosomal RNA is filed under the name uncultured bacterium. RNAcentral describes it as "partial 16S ribosomal RNA". It matches the Rfam family "Bacterial small subunit ribosomal RNA", at positions 524 to 776 of the family's 1533-position model. The record is from RNAcentral.
UACGUAGGGCGCGAGCGUUGUCCGGAAUUAUUGGGCGUAAAGAGCUCGUAGGUGGCCUGUCGCGUCGGCUGUGAAAACUCGGGGCUCAACUCCGAGCUUGCAGUCGAUACGGGCAGGCUAGAGUUCGGCAGGGGAGACUGGAAUUCCUGGUGUAGCGGUGAAAUGCGCAGAUAUCAGGAGGAACACCGGUGGCGAAGGCGGGUCUCUGGGCCGAUACUGACACUGAGGAGCGAAAGCGUGGGGAGCGAACAGG